Molecule: ribosomal RNA, 468 nt
Filed under: uncultured bacterium
Lineage: Bacteria
Description: partial 16S ribosomal RNA
Rfam family: Bacterial small subunit ribosomal RNA
Source: RNAcentral
GACGAACGCUGGCGGCGUGCCUAACACAUGCAAGUCGAACGGAAAGGCCCUGCUUUUGUGGGGUGCUCGAGUGGCGAACGGGUGAGAAACACGUGAGUAACCUGCCCUUGACUUUGGGAUAACUUCAGGCAACUGGGGCUAACACCGGAUAGGAGCUCCUGCUGCAUGGUGGGGGUUGGAAAGUUUCGGCGGUUGGGGCUCGACUCGCGGCUUAUUAGCUUGUUGGUGGAGUGGUGGCUUACCCAGGCUUCGACUGAUAGCCAGCCUGAGAGGUUGAACAGGCACAAUGGUACUGAGGUACGGAGCAGUCGGGUACGUGGGGCAACAGGGGAGAGUAUGACACAGUGAUGGGACGCCUGUUGAGGCGGCGUUGCGUUCGGAAUGACGGCUUACGUGUGGUGAACCGCUUUCGCCUGAGACGUAGCGUUAGUGACGGUAAUGAGUAAAGAAGCACCGGCUAACUACGUG